RNAcentral lists this ribosomal RNA (465 nucleotides) under Vreelandella stevensii. RNAcentral describes it as "partial 16S ribosomal RNA". It matches the Rfam family "Bacterial small subunit ribosomal RNA", at positions 338 to 795 of the family's 1533-position model. Lineage: Bacteria; Pseudomonadati; Pseudomonadota; Gammaproteobacteria; Oceanospirillales; Halomonadaceae. The record is from RNAcentral.
CCUACGGGAGGCAGCAGUGGGGAAUAUUGGACAAUGGGGGGAACCCUGAUCCAGCCAUGCCGCGUGUGUGAAGAAGGCCCUCGGGUUGGAAAGCACUUUCAGUGAGGAAGAACGCCUGGUGGUUAAUACCCAUCAGGAAAGACAUCACUCACAGAAGAAGCACCGGCUAACUCCGUGCCAGCAGCCGCGGUAAUACGGAGGGUGCGAGCGUUAAUCGGAAUUACUGGGCGUAAAGCGCGCGUAGGUGGCUUGAUAAGCCGGUUGUGAAAGCCCCGGGCUCAACCUGGGAACGGCAUCCGGAACUGUCAAGCUAGAGUGCAGGAGAGGAAGGUAGAAUUCCCGGUGUAGCGGUGAAAUGCGUAGAGAUCGGGAGGAAUACCAGUGGCGAAGGCGGCCUUCUGGACUGACACUGACACUGAGGUGCGAAAGCGUGGGUAGCAAACAGGAUUAGAUACCCCUGUAGUC